This 460-nucleotide ribosomal RNA is filed under the name uncultured bacterium. RNAcentral's name for it is "bacterial SSU rRNA". It matches the Rfam family "Bacterial small subunit ribosomal RNA", at positions 22 to 485 of the family's 1533-position model. The record is from RNAcentral.
GCUCAGACGAACGCUGCGGCGUCCUAAUACAUGCAAGUCGAGCGGGACACUCCGGUGUCCAGCGGCGGACGGGUAGUACACGUGGGUACCUGCCUGACAGACCGGGAUAACGCUUGGAAACGAGUGCUUAAUACCGGAUAGGCUCUUGAAGCGCAUGCUUUGAGAGGGAAAGAGGCUAUCGCUUCACUGUCAGAUGGACCCGCGGCGCAUUAGCUAGUUGGUGAGGUAACGGCUCACCAAGGCGACGAUGCGUAGCCGACCUGAGAGGGUGACCGACCACACUGGGACUGAGACACGGCCCAGACUCCUACGGGAGGCAGCAGUAGGGAAUCUUCCGCAAUGGGCGCAAGCCUGACGGAGCAACGCCGCGUGAGUGAUGAAGGCCUUCGGGUUGUAAAACUCUGUCUUCUGUGAAGAACAAGCCUGUGAGGGAAAGCUCAGGCCUUGACGUAACAGAGGA